Molecule: ribosomal RNA, 305 nt
Filed under: uncultured bacterium
Lineage: Bacteria
Description: bacterial SSU rRNA
Rfam family: Bacterial small subunit ribosomal RNA
Source: RNAcentral
CCUACGGGGCGCAGCAGUGGGGAAUAUUGGGCAAUGGGCGCAAGCCUGACCCAGCAACGCCGCGUGAAGGAAGAAGGCUUUCGGGUUGUAAACUUCUUUUCUCAGGGACGAAGAAAGUGACGGUACCUGAGGAAUAAGCCACGGCUAACUACGUGCCAGCAGCCGCGGUAAUACGUAGGUGGCAAGCGUUAUCCGGAUUUACUGGGUGUAAAGGGAGCGUAGGCGGCUGUGUAAGCCAGAAGUGAAAGCCCGGGGCUCAACUCCGGGACUGCUUUUGGAACUACAUGGCUUGAUUGCAGGAGAGG